GCAUAAUAACUAGUUACCGUGCUCGUUACCACAAUAAUAACGUAGUUACUGUAACGCGUUACUUAAUAACGCGUUAGUCCCAACACUGUUCCUCACACUCCUGACAGUGUAAUACACUGAGCUCUAUUCUCUCAUCUCCUCCACAGUGCUCACGUUUUCCAAUGUUUCCCUGAAAUGAAUAGUGUGCGGUUCAGCCCAGUGUGCCCAAAUCUGAGACGUGAAAGGAUUGUUUCUUCUCUCCUCCUCGUCCUCCCUCUCAUUUCUCCAGUUGUUGAAUUUCUAUGAAUAUGUCUGGUCUACUUUGUGAAUUGUAAACUUACUAAUGAUGAACUGGAAUUUGAACAAAUGACUCAUCUUAAUGGUCUUGUCUCUUCAGCCCAGUGGCUGAUAAUGUCACAAGCAUUUCUCCUGUAAUCAGUUUCCCUACUUUGAUAUUAAACUCAGGUAAAAAUAAAAGCUACUCUAACUCUAUUUAAUGUAUUCUUAGAUGCAUCUGUAUAAAUUACUCAAUAUUACAAUUAUGCACAAAUAUAUUUCUGUACUGUACAUGAGUUUAAUGUAAACUCCUCAUUUCUCUUUUCCAACAAAGUGAAAUCCACUGUAGCAUCUGGAAGUGUCCACAGCUGUUUACUGCACGGUUUAACCAUUCCCUGAGUUGGAUGCUCCUGUCAAUGACCAUAGAGAAAAUCCUUUCUCCAUGUCUACAUUCACCCUGCGAUACCAUCUUCCUCAUUUGAAUGAAUAAACCUUGUGUCCACAUCGUACCCUGUGCUUUUUCAAUUUCAAAAGUUCUGUGUCAUCUUUGCCUGGCGUGCAGAUCUUUACCGUUACUGCUUCUUUCCAUUUCCCAAACUUUAUUGUAAAAUAAUAUUCUUUAGUCACUAAGUUGACUUCUCGUUAGAUAACAAACCUGAUCCUCCUGAUUUGAGAGGUACAUUUAUUAAAUCAUUUACAUCUUCAUGUUCUAAUAACUCUCUAUUCUCUGACAUUUCUCUUCCUGUUUUCCCUUCCACAGUAAUAUUAUCUGAACUAUGCAGCUCUGCUUUUCUGUCAAGGUUCGAUUGAGCGUCUCGUGUUUCCCCAGAUCCGCACCUGAGCGGGGUCCUGGCCACUCCCACUCACUUGUUCCUCAUUCCGCGGCAAUCAGUGUAGCCUAACUGCAAAGCUUAUGAAUCCUAUUUAAACCCUCUCUGGAGUCUUUAAUUAAAAUAAAUAAAUAAAUAAAAGAAUUGUGUUGUUGCCAUUUAUUUAUAAAGGUAGUAAUAUUAUAUUACCACGGGAACAACAGCCUGUGCAAGAAAGGUAAUAUUAAACUAACCAUCAGCAGGGAUAAUGUGUGUUUUUGGUUUGAAUAUGUGAAUUGUGCAUUGUCGUCUAAUAUGAGAUCUCUGGUAUAUGUAAUGAUUGCUUGUAUCCAUUUGUCUCUUUAACACUAUGAUAGCGGUUUUUCUGAUAUUGCAAUGAUUUUGCGUUUCAUUCAUAACUGUAGCCACAUGUGAGGGUAAAUAAAAACAACAUUUACAGUUGUAAAACAUUUAAACCUCACUGAGAAAAUCUAAAAUACAAAGUCACCAUAUCAAAUAGU
This is a long non-coding RNA of Oreochromis niloticus (Nile tilapia), 1585 nucleotides long. RefSeq lists it as uncharacterized. NCBI's taxonomy places the organism in Eukaryota, Metazoa, Chordata, Actinopteri, Cichliformes, Cichlidae. The record is from RefSeq and is a predicted model, not a curated record. The transcript has 3 exons.